Molecule: unclassified non-coding RNA, 314 nt
Filed under: Sabuloglossum sp.
Lineage: Eukaryota; Fungi; Ascomycota; Geoglossomycetes; Geoglossales; Geoglossaceae
Also listed under: 1 other name
Description: partial contains 5.8S ribosomal RNA, internal transcribed spacer 2, and large subunit ribosomal RNA
Source: RNAcentral
AACGCACCUUGCGCCCCUUGGCUAUUCCGAGGGGCAUGCCUGUUUGAGUAUCAUGAACACCUCAACUCUCAUGGUUCGCCGUGAUGAGCUUGGACUUUGGGGGUUUUGCUGGCCUACGGUCAGCUCCUCUCAAACAAAUCAGCCUGCCAGUGUUUGGUGGCAUCACAGGUGUGAUAACUAUCUACGCUUGUGGUUGCCCACCAGGUAACCUUCAGCAAUGGAGGAUCGCUGGAGCUUAUAAAUGUCUUUCCUCAGUGAAGACAGCUUUUUGAACGUUCGAUCUCAAAUCAGGUAGGACUACCCGCUGAACUUAA